AAAACGACUCUCGGCAACGGAUAUCUCGGCUCUCGCAUCGAUGAAGAACGCAGCGAAAUGCGAUACCUGGUGUGAAUUGCAGAAUCCCGCGAACCAUCGAGUCUUUGAACGCAAGUUGCGCCCGAAGCCUUCCGGCCGAGGGCACGCCUGCCUGGGUGUCACGC
This 164-nucleotide ribosomal RNA is filed under the name Jatropha multifida. RNAcentral's name for it is "5.8S ribosomal RNA". It matches the Rfam family "5.8S ribosomal RNA". From Rfam's summary of the family: 5.8S ribosomal RNA (5.8S rRNA) is a component of the large subunit of the eukaryotic ribosome. It is transcribed by RNA polymerase I as part of the 45S precursor that also contains 18S and 28S rRNA. Lineage: Eukaryota; Viridiplantae; Streptophyta; Magnoliopsida; Malpighiales; Euphorbiaceae. The record is from RNAcentral.